Long non-coding RNA from Oreochromis aureus, 1133 nucleotides. RefSeq lists it as uncharacterized. The record is from RefSeq and is a predicted model, not a curated record. The transcript is spliced from 2 exons. Lineage: Eukaryota; Metazoa; Chordata; Actinopteri; Cichliformes; Cichlidae.
AUGCAUUUAUAUUUACAGUUGCACGGUUAAUGACUGCAGUUAUGCACUGUUUUUCCCCAGCAUGAGCAAGACAAGAACCUUCAGGAGUAAGUGUUUUGAAAUGCAUUCAUUCUUUUGGAUUUGGGUGGAUUUAUUGAAGUAUUAAGCAAGUUACUCUGUAGCUGGACAUCACUAAAUAUUCUCCAAAAUUCUGUCACUGUAGACAUUUUGGUGGAAAAACAAACAAAAUAACAGCUGCCCAACAGUUUUGCAACAAUGUACUUACUAGUUACACAAAUGUAAGAAAAUACUCUUUAGCCUAGAUAUCCACUGUUGACACAUGCAAAGAGCAUUUGUGGAACAUUUUCACAUUGAAGGAAAACUACUGCCAUGAAAAAAGAUCAAUUUACUGCCCAUGUGACAUUGUAAUCUUUAAAAAGAAACCCCUAGCCUGAUGACGUCUGCUAUGCAUGUCACAUAUAUACAGACCAUUCAUGGACCAGAGGCUGCGACACUGUGCCUGUACUACAACCAGGGAAACAGGGAACGAAGCAUAAAGGUUCUGCUAUGCUCAGUGACACAGUCUGUCCAGAUGGAAAGGCGACCUGAACAGGAAAAUGAAUGACAGCAAAAUUCAUCAUGAAGAGAGAGAAAGUAAGAUAAUCUCAAGAUGAAUGAGCACUUUACUCACUUUGGCAAGAACUGCUUAAAGCUAGUAAGAUAAUAAAGUUCUAAAAUAACACAAAUGAGAAGCAGAGACAUGGCAGCAGGGGCGUUUUUACACUUUAUUUUCCACCUUACAAAACAGAAGUUGUUUAUCUUUUAUGAUUCUUGUUUUCUCAAGACAAAAUGCAGGAGCGAAGGAAAAAGACCCAACAACAACAACACAAACCAACAGUAGACCACAUUCCUUGGUGCACCACAUAUUACUAACGGCAGUAAUAACUAAGAACUUUUGCCAGGGUUGUCAAACCUCUAAAAAACCUUGUGUACUGCAGCCACUCUGCAUGCUUUUGGCUCCCUUCCUUUCUUAUCAUGAUAAAUUCUGCUGCAGUUUUUUCCUUUGUUGACUGCCACAGUCUGGAGUGUGAGACCAGGAAAUUCAUUUUAGGUGUGUAGCUGUGAACUUUUCCAUAUAACAAAAACAAGUUUCC